GACGAACGCUGGCGGCGUGCUUAACAUAUGCAAGUCGAACGGAAAGGCCCUGCUUUUGUGGGGUGCUCGAGUGGCGAACGGGUGAGUAACACGUGAGUAACCUGCCCUUGACUUUGGGAUAACUUCAGGAAACUGGGGCUAAUACCGGAUAGGAGCUCCUGCUGCAUGGUGGGGGUUGGAAAGUUUCGGCGGUUGGGGAUGGACUCGCGGCUUAUCAGCUUGUUGGUGGGGUAGUGGCUUACCAAGGCUUUGACGGGUAGCCGGCCUGAGAGGGUGACCGGCUACAUUGGGACUGAGAGAGGGCCCAGAGACCGACGGGAGGCAGCAGUGGGGAAUAUUGCACAAGGGGCGGGAGCCUGAGGCAGCAACGCCGCGUGCGGGAUGACGGACUUCGGGAUGUAAACCGCUUCCGCCUGUGACGAAGCGUGAGUGACGGUAAGGGAGAAAGAAGCACCGGCUAACUACGUG
This 468-nucleotide ribosomal RNA is filed under the name uncultured bacterium. RNAcentral's name for it is "partial 16S ribosomal RNA". It matches the Rfam family "Bacterial small subunit ribosomal RNA", at positions 28 to 507 of the family's 1533-position model. The record is from RNAcentral.